Non-coding RNA from Mycena latifolia, 91 nucleotides. The record is from the annotation of a GenBank genome assembly. NCBI's taxonomy places the organism in Eukaryota, Fungi, Basidiomycota, Agaricomycetes, Agaricales, Mycenaceae.
GGUUCGGUGGUGGAUGGUCCACAUCUGCUCUCUUUAUACGGUGCGAAAAAACAGUUAGCAGGAGGAGCCUGUUCGAAUCAGGCCCGAGUCA